RNAcentral lists this ribosomal RNA (745 nucleotides) under Salmonella enterica. Its description in RNAcentral is "partial 23S ribosomal RNA". It matches the Rfam family "Bacterial large subunit ribosomal RNA", at positions 2058 to 2802 of the family's 2925-position model. The record is from RNAcentral. Lineage: Bacteria; Pseudomonadati; Pseudomonadota; Gammaproteobacteria; Enterobacterales; Enterobacteriaceae. RNAcentral also lists the same sequence under 1 other name.
GAUGCAGUGUACCCGCGGCAAGACGGAAAGACCCCGUGAACCUUUACUAUAGCUUGACACUGAACAUUGAGCCUUGAUGUGUAGGAUAGGUGGGAGGCUUUGAAGCGUGGACGCCAGUCUGCGUGGAGCCGACCUUGAAAUACCACCCUUUAAUGUUUGAUGUUCUAACGUGGACCCGUAAUCCGGGUUGCGGACAGUGUCUGGUGGGUAGUUUGACUGGGGCGGUCUCCUCCUAAAGAGUAACGGAGGAGCACGAAGGUUGGCUAAUCCUGGUCGGACAUCAGGAGGUUAGUGCAAUGGCAUAAGCCAGCUUGACUGCGAGCGUGACGGCGCGAGCAGGUGCGAAAGCAGGUCAUAGUGAUCCGGUGGUUCUGAAUGGAAGGGCCAUCGCUCAACGGAUAAAAGGUACUCCGGGGAUAACAGGCUGAUACCGCCCAAGAGUUCAUAUCGACGGCGGUGUUUGGCACCUCGAUGUCGGCUCAUCACAUCCUGGGGCUGAAGUAGGUCCCAAGGGUAUGGCUGUUCGCCAUUUAAAGUGGUACGCGAGCUGGGUUUAGAACGUCGUGAGACAGUUCGGUCCCUAUCUGCCGUGGGCGCUGGAGAACUGAGGGGGGCUGCUCCUAGUACGAGAGGACCGGAGUGGACGCAUCACUGGUGUUCGGGUUGUCAUGCCAAUGGCACUGCCCGGUAGCUAAAUGCGGAAGAGAUAAGUGCUGAAAGCAUCUAAGCACGAAACUUGCCCCGA